RNAcentral lists this small nucleolar RNA (218 nucleotides) under Arabidopsis suecica. RNAcentral's name for it is "Plant_U3". It matches the Rfam family "Plant small nucleolar RNA U3". Rfam says of the family: Small nucleolar RNAs (snoRNAs) are involved in the processing and modification of rRNA in the nucleolus. The record is from RNAcentral. Lineage: Eukaryota; Viridiplantae; Streptophyta; Magnoliopsida; Brassicales; Brassicaceae.
ACGACCUUACUUGAACAGGAUCUGUUCUAUAGGCUCGUACCUCUGUUUCCUUGAUUUCUAAGGAGACAGGCCCUUAACCCUGGCUGAUGAACCAUGACCGUACGGCUAGAGCGUGAUUGACGGCUACGAUCGUCUUCGGACGCAUCCGGUGCUGUAGAGGAUCGUUACUCGGCUCGGUUCUACCUUGCCGGGGUGGUCGCACGGCGGUCUGACAGGUU